Melospiza melodia melodia is the source of this 730-nucleotide long non-coding RNA. RefSeq lists it as uncharacterized. Lineage: Eukaryota; Metazoa; Chordata; Aves; Passeriformes; Passerellidae. The record is from RefSeq and is a predicted model, not a curated record. The transcript is spliced from 4 exons.
CUUCAGUAUAAGAGCACCAGAUACAUAUUUAAAUUUUAUUAUUAGCUCCAUCCUGUGAGAAAAUUUCAGAUAUCAUGACAAUUAAAGCAUUCACCAUAAAAGUAUGAGCAUUCUAACAUGCAUUCUAGCAUGCUCUUAGCUUCAUCUGCCUCGUCCUGCAUCUCCCCCCACUCCCUCCCAACUGGUGAGACAGGAGGUGAAAUGCAAAGACAGCUGAGAUAUUACAAAGAAAAUGCUGGUGUGCUCCAAUUUAAGAACAAAAUAAUCUGAAAUUAACGAGAUUUGGAGACACUCCUGGACUCACCAAAUUUCAGGAAUCUCUUAGAGCUACCACACAGAAGAGAGGCUGCUCUAUCUUUCAGAAUCAAGGAAGCAAUAUUGUUACCUACAAUCAAUUCCUUCUGUUUGCCCAAGGUGUACAGAGUGGAAUUGCUCAGUAAUGCUGGAUACUGUUUAGGAACCCAGUGGUACAGGAGCAGAUCUGAGGUGUGUUACACACAGGCUUCCCUCUGACAACCAAGGCAUAAAAGCCACCAGAGCAGGCAAUUAUGCAUCAUCCAGCACAGCUACUCCAGACUCAGCUUCAUGCUCCAGGGCCAGGAGGUGGAAUGACUGCUGGACAGAUUCUCUCAUAUGCAACGCCAGCAUCCUCUGGUUCUUCUAUAGAACUCCAAAUCAAAUGUCAGUAAAUAAUUAAUACAAAUAAAAUAGCAAUUGUGUUUUGGUCACA